GUGUUUACUUUGGCUGCACAUGUACUAAAAUUGCAACAAUACAGAGAUUAGCAUGAUCACUGUGCAAAAUUGACAUGCAAAUUCAUGAGCUAUUCUAUAUUUUU
Pteropus vampyrus (large flying fox) is the source of this 104-nucleotide small nuclear RNA. The record is from Ensembl. Lineage: Eukaryota; Metazoa; Chordata; Mammalia; Chiroptera; Pteropodidae.